Molecule: long non-coding RNA, 4217 nt
Organism: Taeniopygia guttata (zebra finch)
Lineage: Eukaryota; Metazoa; Chordata; Aves; Passeriformes; Estrildidae
Source: Ensembl
AAUACUUGUAUGGAUAAAAAGACUCUGUAAUCACCUGGAAGGUGCGGUGUGUAUUUGGGAGCUAUCCCGCACGCUGCCCGGCGUCGAAUAAACAUACACUUUCUAACUUUAAACUGUUAGAGAGUCUUUGUCCGUCACAGUUGGAUAUCGAUACUAGAUCAAUAUCCACAUUUUUUUAAUAAAUCAAUUCUAUGAUGGAGAGUGGGUCCCUUCGGUCUUGGCCCUUGCCCUUCUUUAGGGUGUCUGUCCAUUGAAAUAUAACACCGUGGAGGUGUGGCAGUCUGCCCAAUAUGAUGAAUUUAAAGGGCAGGUCCGGAUCGUACUGGUGGGCCUGUCUGGCAGACAUUGUCUCCUGGACCUUAUUCAAAGCUGCCUGGGCCUCUGGGGUGAGUUCCCUGGGAGAACUCGGCUCCUCCCCCCCUUUCAAUAAAUCGAAAAGAGGGGCUAGGUCUCUGUUUGUAAUGCCUAGCCAUGGCCUCACCCAGUUUAAAGAACCGCACAGCUGCUGGAUGUCUGCUAGGGUCUGAAUGUUGUUUCUGAUGGCAAAUUUUUGGGGAACAAUGGUCCUCUUGUUAACUUCCAAACCCAGGUACUUCCAGGGUGGCAUCUUUUGAAUUUUGUCCUCUCGCAGCUCAAACCCUGCAGCAAUCAACGCAGCGGUUGUCAGAUUAAGCACGUGUGUAAGGAGAUCGCCGUUGUGAGCACAAAUUAAGAUAUCAUCCAUAUAGUGCUGGAUGAUCACGCCCUCGGUGGCUGCACGGACGGGGGUCAGCAAUGAAGCUACAUACCGCUGGCAGAUGGUGGGCGAGCAUUUGAGACCCUGAGGCAACACUCGCCAAUGGUAGCGUUCCAUUGGGGCUUCUCGGUUGGUGGAAGGAACCGAGAAGGCAAAACGUGGCGCGUCUUCAGGGUGUAGGGGAAUAUGAAAGAAGCAAUUUUUUAUGUCAAUGACAGCCAAUUCCCAAUCUUUUGGCAACAUCGUGGGGGACGGCAUCCCUGGUUGGAGGGGACCCAUAUUUUCAGUCACACUGUUGAUAGCACAGAGAUCGUGAAGGAGCUGCCAUUCGUCUUUGCCAGGUUUUUUCAGGACAAAGACGGGGGAAUUCCAAGGAGAUGUUGUUUCUUGGAUAUGUCCCUUGGCAAGUUGCUCUGCCACGAGCUUUUGGAGCGCUUUUAAUUUUUGUUUAUUGAGCGGCCACUGCUCUACCCAGAUCGGAACAUCAGAAAGCCAAUUCAACUUUUGGGUAGGACGCUCCUCAGUGACUUCUGCCCGAAAAACCUGAGGGGUUGGAAUGUUCAAUGUGACCCCCCACUGGGCCAUCAGGUCCCUUCCCCACAGGGGCUCUCUGUAAUCUAAAACAAAUGGACGUAGGUAAGCUGAUUGUCUAUUUGGCCCCUCAAAUUUUAUGAUUUUUUUGAUUGUUUUGCCAAUUGUGCCCCUCCUACAUCUUGAAUUUGUCCAGCCACAUCCUGCAACUCCCAACGCGAUGGCCAAUCCCGUGAGGGAAUGACCGUGACAUCUGCCCCUGUGUGCAAGAGGCCAUUAAGCCACUUGUGCUCACCGCCAUUCCACAUGUAACAUGCGAUUUUGGGUCUUUCCUUCCCAAGUACCUGGGCCUGACACACUUCGUAGAUUUUCUCAGCAGUCUUCAUCCAUAGAUCUUCGGGGUAGACGGGGGCCCAGAUACAGGUAUGGCUUGGGCGAUGAUUUACCCUUUGGGAAGGUAGACUGGCGGGUGAGCACAGUGCAGCCACAGCACCAGGUGUUUGGGGUUUGCAGAUGUUAAGUUGGGUGCAAUAGUGAUUUCAAGUGGCGUGUAUUUUGUGUCCCCAAGGACGAUGUAAUUACUGUGGAGUCUCCACCAGGUCCCUGGGUCCUGUGUGUCAAUCGUGACAAAAUACCAAUUGCUAUCCUUGAGUAGCAGAGGUUCGGUCAGGGCCAACCUGUGUGGAGAGAAGUUGGACAUGGAUGUUAAGGAUGGACCUGGGAUGGUCGUGGUCCCGACCAAGCCAUGCCUGCGAAAUGAAACUCCCAACUCCCCCCACGCAGGCUGGUUCGCCAGCUUUAGUUCCCCUAGUGUCCAAUCCGGUAACGUCUUGUCUGGUAUUAGAGUCCUUGUCCUCAGGUGGGUGUGCUGAUACGUUGUCCCUCCUCUCCCCUGAUGUUAUGUUUCCCACCAAAUUUGUGUCCUCAUGCAGGGAGGGACUGUGCUGAGAAACUAGUUUUUUGAUGGUUCCCCUGGGUUGGGGGCACCUCGCCCUUGCUGUUGGUUUUGGUUUCUAAAAUGUAAGAAGUCCUCUUUCAGGGGGCAAUGGGAUGCCCAGUGUCCUCUCUUAUUGCAGAUGUUACAGGGUUUUCCCGGGUGGUAACCUUUGGGGGAUGGCCCUGAGAAGCGGCGCGCAGGAGCUGGGGUCAUGGAUGGCGUGUGGGCUUCGGCGAAGGAGACCCUCCUUGAUGGCGUUCAGGGAGUCCCUUGGAGGUCGUUCGAUGGUAAGGUGACCUUCCGAGCACACACAUCCAGCAUGUCUUGGAGUGUCGGCUCUGGGUCGAGGGGAGGGCUCAGGAUCGCCUGCUGGCAGGCUUCGUAGGUGUUCUGGAGUGCAAUUUGCUUCACCAUGCCUUGUCUCAAUCCCUCCUCUGGAAUCUGGGCUUCUGCUGCCCUGCACAACCUAUCUACGAAACUAAUGAAAGAUUCCUGUGGCUCCUGCUUAAGAGAGAAACAGUUAACAACAGGACCACUGGGUCUUAACUUAAAGAAUGCUUUUUCUGCCGCCUUGGCACUUGCUGACAGUGCCUCCCUUGGGAUCUUUUCGGCCUGCCUUGCUGCCAUGUCCCAAUCCCCCACCCCACACAGAUGAUCAAUUGUCAACACGCCCCCAUCGGUAUCCAUGGAGGUCUCUGUAUUGGCCCAGAGGCUGGGUAAUAAAUCUCGUGCUUCCCACCUCCAUGUGGAUUCCCAGACCAAAAACUCAGCUUGAGUAAUCAAACACGAAAAGAGAGUGCGCAUGUCAGCAGGGACAUAUUCGUUUGAGCAGAGCGUGGCAUUUAAUAGCCCCCUAAAUUAUUCACUUUCCCGGCCAAAAUCCUUUUGGGCUUUGCAGAGAUCCUUAAUUACCGACUGUGGGAUUGGAGUCCACUGUUUGAGGGGUCUGCCCUUCUGCCGCGGUGUAUAGGUGACCGGCGCAGCAGAAAAGGCAGGCAGGGAUUGCGGCACGUCGCAGUUUCCCCCCUCCCCCCCCCCGGAAACCAAAGCGUGGGAACCAGAGGGCGGGUUGUGGGAACUGAGGGAGGAGGCAGGACUAGGGCUAGGGGGUGUGGCAGAUGUUACAUUACCCCUAGGGGUGGGGUUGAAGGAAGGACUGUUGAAUGAUUCAUUAGGGGAGGUGCGUGAAGGGGGUGGAGAGUAGGAGUGGGUGGAGAAGUCUCUGGGGUGGAAAGGGUUGGCUGUUGGGAGAAAGGGAGUGUUGGGAGAAGAAGCACAAGUGGUGGGGGGUGCCAUGUGGUCCCCUCCAUCUUGUGCCCUGAGGUAGGAAAGGGAAUAAUUUUGGGAAAGGUUCGGGGAAGGUUGCAGAGAGGGAUCAGGGGUCUUAAAACUUACAGAUUUUCCACUAUGGGGCAGGGCUGUACAAAGAGAGGGAAUUGGGGUAUGGGGAUAGUGCAGAGCGAUGCCAGCACUGCCCUGCGAAGGAACCCGGGGGUUUACAAAGGGGCCAGAAUCUGCCUGCGGCUGCUUCCGGGAUGCCCGUCUGAGAAUCCCCGGGCUAGGGAGAGAGGGAGAGGAAAGAGGGCUAGGGGUUUUUAAACUGGGGCUGCAUUUGCCUUCGAGUGGCUCUGGCAUCCCUUUGCUGUUAUUUUUGAUAAUAUUCCUAAUUUGGAGUGCCAGAUGAAUGAAAAUUGAGAGGGAUGGGUCCCCUUUUUGGACGAUUUCCCUUCCAACUUGGUCCCAAAACUGGACUUGGUAUAAAUUUGCUGUCAACAGAUCCUGGAAGGACUGCAGAAGCCACCGGGUGAAAUGUUUAACGUCGGACUUUUUAAACUUUUUUUCUCCCCCAACCAGGAUGCCAACAACUUGGACAUAAAUUCUCUUUGCGACACUGACAGUUUAGCACCCAUAUUGUCGAUCUUAAAUGUGCCGCUAAGCCUCACAACUGGAGAAAAUAACAACAGAAAAAAAAGAAGACCCCUAUCAGACGCUGGGUAGACCUGUGCUUACCGG